CCUACGGGAGGCAGCAGUGGGGAAUAUUGGACAAUGGGCGAAAGCCUGAUCCAGCCAUGCCGCGUGUGUGAAGAAGGCCUUCGGGUUGUAAAGCACUUUCAGUGGGGAAGAAAGCCUUGGGGCUAAUACCCUCGAGGAAGGACAUCACCCACAGAAGAAGCACCGGCUAACUCCGUGCCAGCAGCCGCGGUAAUACGGAGGGUGCGAGCGUUAAUCGGAAUUACUGGGCGUAAAGCGCGCGCAGGCGGUCUGAUAAGCCGGUUGUGAAAGCCCCGGGCUCAACCUGGGAACGGCAUCCGGAACUGUCAGGCUAGAGUGCAGGAGAGGAAGGUAGAAUUCCCGGUGUAGCGGUGAAAUGCGUAGAGAUCGGGAGGAAUACCAGUGGCGAAGGCGGCCUCCUGGACUGACACUGACGCUGAGGCGCGAAAGCGUGGGUAGCAAACAGGAUUAGAUACCCUGGUAGUC
This 465-nucleotide ribosomal RNA is filed under the name Vreelandella stevensii. Its description in RNAcentral is "partial 16S ribosomal RNA". It matches the Rfam family "Bacterial small subunit ribosomal RNA", at positions 338 to 795 of the family's 1533-position model. Lineage: Bacteria; Pseudomonadati; Pseudomonadota; Gammaproteobacteria; Oceanospirillales; Halomonadaceae. The record is from RNAcentral.